AGAGUUUGAUCCUGGCUCAGGACGAACGCUGGCGGCGUGCUUGAUACAUGCAAGUCAAGGAGAACAUUAUCUUCGGAUAAUAAGUAAACUGGCGAACGGGUGAGUAACGCGUAAACAACUUGCCUCAGAGAUUGGGACAACAUUGGGAAACCAGUGCUAAUACCAAAUAAUGCAGCGGGCUCUUCGGAGCACAGUUGUUAAAGUAGGCUUCGGCUUACACUUUGAGAUAGGUUUGCGUCCGAUUAGUUAGUUGGUAGGGUAAAAGCCUACCAAGACCAAGAUCGGUAGCUGGUCUGAGAGGAUGAUCAGCCACACUGGAAUUGAGAUACGGUCCAGACUCCUACGGGAGGCAGCAGUAAGGAAUUUUGCACAAUGGGCGAAAGCCUGAUGCAGCAACGCCGCGUGAACGAUGAAGUUUUUAGGAAUGUAAAGUUCUGUCGUAUGGGAAGAGAUCUUUCGAAUGUUAAUACCAUUCGUUAAUGACGGUACCAUUCAAGAAAGCACCGGCUAACUUCGUGCCAGCAGCCGCGGUAAUACGAGGGGUGCUAGCGUUGUCCGGAUUUACUGGGCGUAAAGGGUACGUAGGCGUUUUAAUAAGUUGAAUGUUAAAUAUCUUAGCUUAACUAAGAAAAUGCAUUCAAAACUGUUAAAAUAGAGUUUGAGAGAGGAACGCAGAAUUCAUGGUGGAGCGGUGACAUGCGUAGAUAUCAUGAGGAAAGUCAAAUGCGAAGGCAGCCUUCUGGCUCAAAACUGACGCUGAGGUACGAAAGCGUGGGGAGCGAACAGGAUUAGAUACCCUGGUAGUCCACGCCGUAAACGAUGAGUAUUUGGUGCUGGGGGAUUCGACCCUUUCAGUGCCGUAGCUAACGCGAUAAAUACUCCGCCUGGGGACUACGAUCGCAAGAUUGAAACUCAAAGGAAUUGACGGGGACCCGCACAAGCGGUGGAACAUGUGGUUUAAUUCGAUGAUACGCGAAGAACCUUACCUGGGUUUGACAUGUUAGUGAAAGUUUUCUGAAAAGAAUUCCCUUUAAGAGCUUGCUCUUAAACACUAUCACAGGUG
Molecule: ribosomal RNA, 1063 nt
Filed under: marine metagenome
Description: bacterial SSU rRNA
Rfam family: Bacterial small subunit ribosomal RNA
Source: RNAcentral